Long non-coding RNA from Pygocentrus nattereri (red-bellied piranha), 2885 nucleotides. The record is from Ensembl. NCBI's taxonomy places the organism in Eukaryota, Metazoa, Chordata, Actinopteri, Characiformes, Serrasalmidae.
UGGCUAAAUAACUUCCCGGCGCUGCAUUAGGAAGAAUGGGAGGGAGACUGGUCACCAGUUUUGGCAUCAGGCUAAUAUCUUUUAUUUUCCUUAACCGCGGACACUUAUAGUCUGUUUUUGUAUAGUAGUUUUUUUUUUAGAUAUACUGUCUGUGAGCAGUAUGGAUUUACCCAUUGACUCCAGCCUGUUCUUGUCGGAUGACCAAGAUGUGGCCAAACUGGUGCAGGAAGAAUUCCAAAAACAAAUACUUGCGGACAGUGAGAAAUCUCAAAAGGCCCAAAACGCAAGGAAGAAUACGGAUCUCUGGGACAGUCUAUGGAACUCUGUUGACCCAGUAGUUAAUAAACUGGUUAAUCAAGUGGCCAGUCCCGUCUUUAGUCCGGUCUUCUGCUUGGCUUGUGACACCAUGUUCUUCAAUAGGCUGACCCUUGAGGAGCAUGUCUGCCCUUUUGUUAGCUUCAUUUGUUCGUGUGGUAUUGGUUUCACCAGUUAUCCUGAAAUGUGGUCCCACAGUCUGUCCCACAACCACAAAGCAUCGUACGUAGUGAAUCACAAAAGUGCUAUCCAGAACAGGAUCAAUUCAGUUAAAGAGCAGGAAUCCAAGCUGAAGUUUUUAGAGGCUACUGCGAAGAACGUCGGCAUUGUCCAGAAGGCCGUUCCGGCCACACAUUCUGCUACAUCUAUGACGAGGUACGCCGUCGGACGAACGAUUAACCUUUGGAGGCGUUUCAAACCAGUGGUGAAGAUCGAGACUCUUCAGGCGUUUCCCUGUCAAAGGAAUUACAUGUGCAUGGUUUGCCGCGAAGUGAUGUGUAAUCAGGACGUGCUCAUCGAGCAUGUCCAUGCCUCACACCAUAACACCUGCAUAUAUGGCUGCAUUCGCUGCGGGCUGCUUUUGAUAAGCAGCGUGACUCCGAAACCUCACCACAAGUGCGGCUCCCUUUACACCGGCCCUUCCAAAAGGUUCACUGUUGGCCACGUGGUUAAAGACCCUCUGGCAGCAGACAGACUGUAUAUGCCUUAUGCUUGUCAGUACUGCUCUCUGAAAUUUUGUCAUCCAGUGCACCUAAGCAACCACAUCCAUCUCAACCACACCAACGUAUCCAAACUGCGUGUAAACAAGUCGCAAGGAAGCAGCGCCAAAAGAGUCCAGCACACUUUGAAGAACAUGCCAAACAGAACCUCACAAACUCAAAAACAGAGGUGCGCGCUUUGCGGCAAAAUGAACGACUCAAUCAAGAUGCUUGCGCAGCACUGGUGCGUGAGGAAGCUGACUUUGUUCAAGGCUGAGAAGGUCACAAAGAUGAUCAGCGAGAAAGACCAACAAAGAUCAGACUGGUGCUCACCAAUAGAGAGUGACAGCGAAGAACUGACCUUCUGCUUUCAGGACAUCAGUGACAUGACGACGCAUGGUCAUACAAAGCUACUGACGAUAAAAACGGAGCCGGUAGAGGUGAACCUGAAGAUGACCCAAACAGACUUUUCUCAGAGGGUAUCUGUCAAAACCGAGCCCGAUGAUGAUAACGGAGUGGAAAAAGCCCCGAGUGAAAUGAACAGACUCUUUUACCAAAAUUGCAGUACUCCCAAUGCUAACAAUCUGAAGUGCUGGCUUAGCAGCAUAUAGGGCCAAAGCUAUGGUUUACAAGUGUUUUGGAAUUGUUCUCUUCAUUCGUGGAUAGUCAUGUUGUAUAGACUCUCAUUCUGCUAUUUGAGCAAAUUUGAUGUAUUUUACUCGAUGACUAGCGUCCCACAGCUUCGUCGUUCAUGGUUUUCUCCGACGUUUGUCAGCUAUGUUGAGUAAUUCCAAUAAAAGGAAAAGCAAAAACGUCCCCGCACUUGAAGAUUCACAACAGAAUUUCUGUUUUGCUUUUAAACCAUGCAGGUAGGGCUGGGCAAUAGGACCAUGUAUAUCAUUAUUGUGAUAACGUACACUGAUCAGGCCUAACAUUAUGACCAGCUCCUUGUUUCUACGCUCAUUGUCCAUUUCAUCAGCUCCACUUACUGUAUAGCUGCACUUUGUAGUUAGUUUCUCUGGUACUUUGUUGGCCCCCUUUUACCCUGUUCUUCAGUGGUCGGGACCCCCAUGGACCCUCUCAGAUCAGGUACUAUUUGUGUGGUGGAUCAUUCUCAGUACUGCGGUAACACUGACAUGGUGGUGUUAGCAGCACAACACACACUAACACACCACCACCAUGCAGUGCUGAGAAUGAUCCACCACUCAAAUGGUACCUGCUCUGUGAGGGUCCAUGGGGGUCCUGACCACUGAAGAACAAGGUAUGCAGAGAAACAGAUGGACUACAGUCUGUGAUUGUAGAACUACAAAGUGCACCUAUACAGUAAGUGGAAACAGCGUUUUUGUAAUGUUAUGCCUGAUCGGUGUACAUCAUCAGUACUUGUAGAACACUGACCAACUGCAUGUUUCAUUGUAAAGAGAGCAGAAUUUAGAUUUAGUGCAGCACAUUAUGCCAAAUAUCGAAUAAAUUAUUUUAUUAACACUGCUGUUUCUUUUUUUCUCAGUUCCAACAGAUCAUUUGUCUGAAAAAGUAAAUAUGGUGUGACAUGCACUGUGAAUUUCUUGAAAUAUCACAGUAUUUUUGCCGUAUUGCCCACCUCUACAUGCAGUUUUACAGGAAACCGAUCGUUCAUUUCAGUCGUUGCCAGCAAAGUCGUUCAGAGUGGUUUGGUGUCAGGUGGGUCACUGUAGAGAAACUUGCCAAAUCUGAUUUCCUUCCAGUGGUGGUGAUGGGAACCAGGCAUCCCUGGCUGUGUUUACUUGCAAAGACUUUUGCGGAUCUGAUUGAAUACGUUCUGUUUAUAGAGUAAGACUGAGGUGUUCAUGUGCUCACUAUUAAACAGUCUGAUGGAAAAUCUCCAUUCACACGCAC